UUGAACGCUGGCGGAAUGCUUUACACAUGCAAGUCGAACGGCAGCACGGGGGCAACCCUGGUGGCGAGUGGCGAACGGGUGAGUAAUACCUAGGAACAUGUCCAGUAGUGGGGGAUAACGCAGCGAAAGCUGUGCUAAUACCGCAUACGCCCUAUGGGGGAAAGCGGGGGAUCGCAAGACCUCGCGCGAUAGGAGCGGCCGAUAUCGGAUUAGCUAGUUGGUGAGGUAAAGGCUCACCAAGGCGACGAUCCGUAGCUGGUCUGAGAGGACGACCAGCCACACUGGAACUGAGACACGGUCCAGACUCCUACGGGAGGCAGCAGUGGGGAAUUUUGGACAAUGGGGGAAACCCUGAUCCAGCCAUUCCGCGUGAGUGAAGAAGGCCUUCGGGUUGUAAAGCUCUUUCGGCAGGAACGAAACGGUAAGGGCUAAUAUCCUUUGCUAAUGACGGUACCUGAAGAAGAAGCACCGGCUAACUACGU
Molecule: ribosomal RNA, 482 nt
Filed under: uncultured bacterium
Lineage: Bacteria
Description: bacterial SSU rRNA
Rfam family: Bacterial small subunit ribosomal RNA
Source: RNAcentral